UUUGGAUUGAAGGGAGCUCUG
RNAcentral lists this microRNA (21 nucleotides) under Hordeum vulgare. Its description in RNAcentral is "hvu-miR159a". Its record names the gene hvu-miR159b. Lineage: Eukaryota; Viridiplantae; Streptophyta; Magnoliopsida; Poales; Poaceae. RNAcentral also lists the same sequence under 11 other names. The record is from miRBase by way of RNAcentral.